UACAGGGGGUGCAAACGUUGCUCGGAAUUAUUGGGCGUAAAGCGCGCGUAGGCGGCUACCUAAGUCGGAUGUGAAAGCCCCUGGCUCAACUGGGGAAGUGCACCCGAAACUGAGUGGCUUGAAUACCAAAGAGGGUCGCGGAAUUCCCGGUGUAGAGGUGAAAUUCGUAGAUAUCGGGAGGAACACCGGUGGCGAAGGCGGCAUCCUGGACCGACAUUGACGCUGAGGAGCGAAAGCCAGGGGAGCAAACGGG
RNAcentral lists this ribosomal RNA (253 nucleotides) under uncultured bacterium. RNAcentral's name for it is "partial 16S ribosomal RNA". It matches the Rfam family "Bacterial small subunit ribosomal RNA", at positions 524 to 776 of the family's 1533-position model. The record is from RNAcentral.